UCACCACCACCACCACCACUGCUUCUGCCCGCCUCCGACAUAACCACCCACUCCUGCCCUCCUUCCACCCACGCCACACUCCCACCGCCACUUCUGCGGGUGUGAUUACCGGUGAGAAAUACAGAACCAGUGCUACGGUUCAUCUUGAUUUGGUCCACAAAGGAGCGACCUGAACCGAUGUUCUUCAGAUCUGUUAAUUUAAUAACCUGUCGGAUUUUUUUUUGUUUUGAUUUGAUUAUGAUUGAGAUCUGGGGAAAUCUGUUGAGGUGAUUUGAUUUGAGAAAGAUUAAAGUGAUGAUUUAUUUUACUCAAUUUUGGCUGCAAUGUGGUAUGAUGAUCUAUAAUACAUGCAUCUGAUUAUUCUUUUCGUCAAUCAUCUCAGAUUGAUUUCUAAUUCUUAAAAAAAAUCUAUGAUGAUCUAUUUCCUUAUUUGCUAUUGUUUCUAUUGGAUAUCAAACCAAGAAUCGAACAAAAAAUUAUAAACACAGGUUCUUGUAAUGGCGAUUUUCCGGCGGCCCCUUAUUUCUUGCGUGUGUGUGUUUGGAGGUUUGCAGGUGGUGGUUAUGGCGAUUUACUGGUGGUCGUUGAUGGUGUUCCAAUUUAACGGAGAAAACUGACGGACAUCCACUCCAGGGACUAUCCGAGUAACAACUCGUCAAACCACAGGGAGCACCGGUGUAAUUUCCAAAAGUUGGGGACUAUAGGUGUUAUUUUACAAAACCACAGGGACUAUCCGGGUAUUUUACUCUUUUGUUUUUUUUUUCUCUCAGCUAAAUUACGAUUUUGCCCUCAAUUUAAAUUUACAUUUUUCCAUCGUUUUUAUUUGUUUUCCCAGUCAAAUUACGAUUUUGCCUCCAGUGUAAAAUUACAGUCAUGCCAUCGUUUUAGUUUUUUUUUCCGACAAACUUGUGGUAGUAUUUCGUUUUAAUUAGUUGACUCGGUGUACUUUUUAUUUGUACUAGACAGCUGCCUGGCACACGCUCAUUUGUCCUAAAAAAUUACAAUUUUGCUCCCAGUUUAAAAUUAGAGUUUUCCAUUGUUUUUGUUUUUUAAGCAAAACUAUGAUAAUGUUUUAUUUUAAUUGGUUGACUCAAUGUAUUUUUUUAGAUCGUGUUAUGACUAGUAUGUACAAGUAACCGAAACACAGAUGUACAUGUUAUGAAAGACAAAUAUUCGACUUAGUGCCCCACAAAGCGGGCGGGGAAAAAUCUAGUUAAAAGAACAAAAUGUGUGACAGACAUAAGGAAAACAUAUAAUAAUUCGUGUAAAUAAUAAUAAGGGUAAAUUGCAUUUUUCACGCUUUAUGUUUGUAUAGGAUUGCAAUGGAUAGCCUUUAACUUCAAUAAUUAAAGUCACAGUCCUUUAUAUGUAAAACUCAUUACACUCUACGUCCUAUAGCACUAACAAAGUUAAAAAUUUCAGUUAAGUCUAGACACACCAAGGUAUUUUGGUCAUUUCAUGCUUUUAUUUAAAUGUUUCUU
This 1481-nucleotide long non-coding RNA is filed under the name Helianthus annuus (common sunflower). RNAcentral describes it as "hypothetical non coding rna". The record is from RNAcentral. Lineage: Eukaryota; Viridiplantae; Streptophyta; Magnoliopsida; Asterales; Asteraceae.